This 762-nucleotide ribosomal RNA is filed under the name uncultured bacterium. RNAcentral describes it as "bacterial SSU rRNA". It matches the Rfam family "Bacterial small subunit ribosomal RNA", at positions 8 to 796 of the family's 1533-position model. The record is from RNAcentral.
AGAGUUUGAUCAUGGCUCAGGACGAACGCUGGCGGUGUGCUUCACACAUGCAAGUCGAACGAGGUAGCAAUACCUAGUGGCGGACGGGUGAGUAACGCGUGGGAAUCUGCCUAUAGAUGGGGGAUAGCUAGCCGAAAGGCUAAUUAAUACCGCAUACGCGUGUAUCUCGACAGGGAUAUACGUGAAAGUAGUAAUACGUCUAUAGAUGAGCCCGCGUCCGAUUAGCUAGUUGGUAGGGUAAUGGCCUACCAAGGCGACGAUCGGUAGGUGGUCUGAGAGGAUGAUCACCCACAAUGGAACUGAGACACGGUCCAUACUCCUACGGGAGGCAGCAGUGGGGAAUUUUACGCAAUGGGCGAAAGCCUGACGUAGCGACACCGCGUGAGCGAAGAAGCCCUUUGGGGUGUAAAGCUCUGCCAGCUGGAACGAAAAAAAUGACGGUACCAGCAGAGGAAGCAUCGGCUAACUACGUGCCAGCAGCCGCGGUAAGACGUAGGAUGCAAGCGUUGUCCGGAUUUAUUGGGCGUAAAGAGUUCGUAGGCGGUUUGUUAAGUUCGGUGUUAAAGAUCGGGGCCCAACCCUGGGAGUGCAUUGAAUACUGGCAGACUGGAGUGCGGUAGAGGUAAGUGGAAUUCCUGGUGUAGCGGUGAAAUGCGUAGAUAUCAGGAAGAACACCAGUGGCGUAGGCGACUUACUGGGCCGUAACUGACGCUGAGGAACGAAAGCCAGGGGAGCAAAUGGGAUUAGAUACCCCCGUAGUCC